Molecule: transfer RNA, 73 nt
Filed under: Pluteus cervinus
Lineage: Eukaryota; Fungi; Basidiomycota; Agaricomycetes; Agaricales; Pluteaceae
Description: tRNA-Val
Source: RNAcentral
GGAAUAAUGGUGUAGUUGGUCAUCACUUCUGUGCCACACACAGAAGGUACCCAGUUCGAAUCUGGAUGUUUCA